CCUACGGGAGGCAGCAGUGGGGAAUUUUGCGCAAUGGGGGAAACCCUGACGCAGCAACGCCGCGUGCGGGAUGACGGCCCUCGGGUUGUAAACCGCUUUCAGCAGGGAAGAUAUUUACGUUACCUGCAGCAGAUGCCCCGGCUAACUACGUGCCAGCGGCCGCGGUACUACGUGGGGAGCGAGCGUUAUCCGGAUGCAGGGGGCGUAAAGCGCGCGUAGGCGGCUGCCUAAGCGGAACCUCGACCCCCGGGGCUCAACCUCGGGCCGGGGGGCGAACUGGGCGGCUGGAGUGCGGUGGAGGAGGGCGGAAUUCGCGGUGUAGCGGUGGAAUGCGCAGAUAUCGGGAAGAACACCGAUGGCGAAGGCAGCUCUCUGGGCCGGCACUGACGCUGAGGCGCGAAGGGUGGGGGAGCGAACAGGAUUAGAUACCCGAGUAGUC
RNAcentral lists this ribosomal RNA (439 nucleotides) under uncultured bacterium. RNAcentral describes it as "partial 16S ribosomal RNA". It matches the Rfam family "Bacterial small subunit ribosomal RNA", at positions 338 to 795 of the family's 1533-position model. The record is from RNAcentral.